CCACCCAACUCAUUUUUCCGGGCUUGCAACUCGCACUCAGAAUGUACUGGCUGUACACCCCAUGUGGCUGAGGUCUGAAGGCUCU
Molecule: long non-coding RNA, 85 nt
Organism: Thalassophryne amazonica
Lineage: Eukaryota; Metazoa; Chordata; Actinopteri; Batrachoidiformes; Batrachoididae
Exons: 3
Source: RefSeq, a predicted model, not a curated record